Molecule: long non-coding RNA, 1969 nt
Organism: Helianthus annuus (common sunflower)
Lineage: Eukaryota; Viridiplantae; Streptophyta; Magnoliopsida; Asterales; Asteraceae
Exons: 7
Source: RefSeq, a predicted model, not a curated record
CACCGCCUACUCCAUUGUUUAAAAACUCAUCGCACAUGAAAAAUAGGGUUUGAUAACCAGAGACUAGAGAAACUGAAGAGAUGGGAGACAAACCGUAGACUCUCCGGCGUCGAUACAGGGGAUCCGCCGCACAUCGCUCACCGACGUCGACAUGACAGAGGGGAUCCGCCGUGCGUGGCGGCUCUCUGGCGUCCACAACAGAAUGGAAAUGAACAGUUGUGCCUGCUGAAUCACAUGUCUACCACCGUUGUAUGUUCGCCGGUCUUCACCAACAACAGCGACACCAGUUGACAGUUACCGAGUUUUCAGGUGGAGAUGGUCAAAUGAAUGAUUUAGUUUACAUUACAGUACAACCUUUGCAAUGAACCUUGGUAUACCCUUUUCUUUUCUCUUUCUUUUAUUGACCCGUUACAUAUUUACAGAUCUAUAUUCUUUCAGUAUCUCACGAUCUUGUCAACUAGGGGUGCGCAUAAACCGUUAAAUCCGACUAAAUUGCCCUGACCACAGUAAAUUUGCUGGUUCAGGCGAUUUAAAGAACUGAGUUUUGACGGUUCAGCUACGGUUUGGAACUUGGAACCAGUCAUUUAAUCUAUAUUAUUGUUACCUUUUCAUUUUUGGAGUAUGUAGUUAUGUAUAUGUAAUAUGUAUAAUAUUUAUGAACACUCUUUAUUGUUAUAAAAUAAUUUAAUACAAGCUAAAGGUCGUGGAAAAAUGGAAAAACCAUUCAAACCACUAAAACCGAGCCCUUUGCCUUUUUCGAAAACCGUAGUUUGCGGUUGGGCCCAGAAUUUUCAUCAAAAUAGGCCAAAUUAGAGUGCACAAAUCGUUUUUUUAGAACCUACAACCGGGUAGGAACCGGGUCCGGGUUUAGUCAACAAAGUCAAGAACUGGGUAGGGUAGGUCUGAAGAAGCCUGUAUUUACCUCUGCUCGAUUGAAAAAGGGUGAAGUUUUGUACCUGGAAAGUCCUACACAAAGGUUUGAGCUUUGUUUUAAUGGAGAGAAGAUGGUGAAGUCGGGAAAUGAAACGAAUACGAAUGGCGUUGACAGUGAUAAUAACAACAAUAACAAUAACAGUAAUAACAAUAUGAUGGAUGUAUUCAGAUGGUCUUUGUGUAAGAAGCCUCUUCCUCAGACGCUUAUGUGCUCCAUCGGCACCCCUUUGCCGCCUGAACAUCUAAAGGGACGGUCAGGUGGUGUCAAAGUAACAUAAUUUAGAGUAAUUUUGCAGCUCAUUUCUCAAUCCGGUUGGCAUGCUUCAGUUAUGCUUCAUACUACACUUUAUCUAUGGUGUCGAGGCUUCUGUUUGUGGCGUUCUCACCGUUAUCGCCGUUCAGAUGUCAUCGUCAUCGGUCGUUUGGGUAAUUUAUAUAUGGUGUCUAGGCUUCUUUUGUAGCGUUCUUAUUUAUGAUUUCAUUACGUGCGAUGUCGAGGAUCAAGGCAAAUAUGAGAUUGCUGAUUCACAUAAAGAAGCUGAAAAGGUUGAUUUUAUCAUUUGGAAAUAAUGUCUAUUUAUAUACACGUGCAGGUGGUGUCUAUUUAUAUGAAUUAAAAUAAUUAGAUGAUAAAUAGUGUUAAUUAAGCAACUUUAAAGUGUUUUAGAAAGGGGAUGAGUACUUGUCAUACAAAGAGACCUGGGAUUGCAAGCUAGAGUUGUUGGUGAAUUGCUCCAACCUGGUGGCCACAUAAAAUUGAUGCAACUGGAUUUAGAAGAUUGUGUAGAGAACAUAGAUGCUCAAAAGAAGAUGUUUUUACAAUGACGAUUUGUCCAGCAGAUUACAGUUGCAUUCUGUAACGGAAUAUACAAAAACGAACUGCCACAAAAUUUUAUGCGAUUCAACGCUUAUUGUGUAGAAUAUAAGAGCAAAUGAUGUUUUUAAUUAGAUCACAUAAUGUAAACCACCACUACAAGAACAAUCUUCAAUGAUGAUUUAGCAAUUCAAUUGACUUGAAUGGUUUUCCGAAGCAAAA